Molecule: small nucleolar RNA, 111 nt
Filed under: Bombyx mori (domestic silkworm)
Lineage: Eukaryota; Metazoa; Arthropoda; Insecta; Lepidoptera; Bombycidae
Description: Bm_48
Source: RNAcentral
AAUGCAAUAAUGAGACUUCGAUCUUUAAUACUAACUUUCGUUUCGGUUUGAUUAGUAUUAAACAUUUUUGAUAUCCUCCUUCCUGGUACUACUAGGAUACAAGGAGGUAUU